Molecule: long non-coding RNA, 444 nt
Filed under: Haliotis rubra (blacklip abalone)
Lineage: Eukaryota; Metazoa; Mollusca; Gastropoda; Lepetellida; Haliotidae
Description: uncharacterized LOC124289777, transcript variant X1
Source: RNAcentral
GGACAGUGGAGUCACACGUUCAUUUGUGCAGAAACAAUCCUUAACAAGAUUGCUUGUGUCCUCAAAGGUAGUUUCUGUCCAACGUGGAGCCUGGUGAACCUGAUGGGCGGUGAGCUUACUGGAGCGCAGUGCAGCCAGAGACAUGAGGGUUCGGCGCGUUCCAGUAUUCCCCUUUGAACAAUCCCGUCACGGGAUUUCGAUUUUGGUGACGUUCGGCUUGUUUAUUCUUUUGAAAACAGCUACUUCUUCAAGGGAUGCCUGCACCAUCUGCGACGGAAACAACUCCACCUGCGUUGACGGUGCGUGUCUACCCGCUGCCUCAACCUGACGUCAUCUGGAGAGUGUCUGCAGUGUCGAGAUUCCAGGUUUUAUGGCGAACAGUGUGAAAACAGGUGUCCAGAUACAUGUAAAAACUCUCGUUGUCGGGUGAAUAACUCUCGCGUU